AACGAACGCUGGCGGCAUGCCUAACACAUGCAAGUCGAACGAGACCUUCGGGUCUAGUGGCGCACGGGUGCGUAACGCGUGGGAACCUGCCCUUAGGGUCGGCAUAACUCCCCGAAAGGGGUGCUAAUACCGGAUAAUGUCUUCGGACCAAAGAUUUAUCGCCUUUGGAUGGGCCCGCGUUGGAUUAGCUAGUUGGUAGGGUAAAAGCCUACCAAGGCGACGAUCCAUAGCUGGUCUGAGAGGAUGAUCAGCCACACUGGGACUGAGACACGGCCCAGACUCGUACGGAAGGGAGCAGUGGGGAACAUUGGACGAGGGGCGAAGGCGUGAUGCAGCAAUGCCGCGUGAGUGAUGAAGGGCGUAGUGUUGUAAAGCUCUUGUACCCGGGAUGAUAAUGACGGUACCGGGAGAAUAAGCCCCGGCUAACUCCGUG
RNAcentral lists this ribosomal RNA (433 nucleotides) under uncultured bacterium. Its description in RNAcentral is "partial 16S ribosomal RNA". It matches the Rfam family "Bacterial small subunit ribosomal RNA", at positions 29 to 507 of the family's 1533-position model. The record is from RNAcentral.